Molecule: transfer RNA, 90 nt
Filed under: Candidatus Nitrosacidicoccus tergens
Lineage: Bacteria; Pseudomonadati; Pseudomonadota; Gammaproteobacteria; Chromatiales; Chromatiaceae
Description: Chromatiaceae bacterium RW Ser tRNA
Rfam family: tRNA
About the family: Transfer RNA (tRNA) molecules are approximately 80 nucleotides in length. Their secondary structure includes four short double-helical elements and three loops (D, anti-codon, and T loops). Further hydrogen bonds mediate the characteristic L-shaped molecular structure. tRNAs have two regions of fundamental functional importance: the anti-codon, which is responsible for specific mRNA codon recognition, and the 3' end, to which the tRNAs corresponding amino acid is attached (by aminoacyl-tRNA synthetases). tRNAs cope with the degeneracy of the genetic code in two manners: having more than one tRNA (with a specific anti-codon) for a particular amino acid; and 'wobble' base-pairing, i.e. permitting non-standard base-pairing at the 3rd anti-codon position.
Source: RNAcentral
GGAAGAGUGGCCGAGUGGUUGAAGGCACCGGUCUUGAAAACCGGCAAUGGGUAAAACCAUUCAUGGGUUCAAAUCCCAUCUCUUCCGCCA